UGUCUCUUUUGUUUCAUUUUUUUUUAGUUUGAUUGUGAAGCCCCAUCUACUAACAUAUUAAAACAGUGUGCAAAAAGUGAUGUUACUAGAAUUUAUAUUCUACUUAUGUAGAACUUUCUAAUAUUUCAUCUUUCUUAGAUUUUUAAAGCAAUACAAGAUUGAAUUUAGCAGAAUGCUAAACUUUUGCUCUGGAGACAAAAAAGGAAGACAGCAAAAAUGACCAGCCAAAAUAAAGAAUAAAGAGACAAAAAAAUGUGUAUAUCUUGGUCUAGAUGAUUUAUCCUCAAUUUCUUAUAAUGAAACAAAAAAUAUUAUAAAACUUUGGGAUUUACCUGUGACUCCAAACUCUUUACAGAAGUUCAAUGUUUUCUCUGAGAAGUUGAAUGAACAAAAUUUAUUAAAUGUGCAAUCUGUAUCUUAAACAUUAACGAGAAUUGUUUUGUGUCAGUGCCAGAAAUUGAAUACACACCUGCAAAUUUCGUAAUUCAUAAAAAUAUUAUGAAUCCAUUAGCAAAUAAAGUUGUAUCCUUGAAAGAUAUGCUGGUAUUAUUGGCACAAUGGGCAAGCGUUAAAGUGCAACUUGGUGAACUACAAAACACAUCAAAUUCAGUUAUAAAAAUUUGAGUAACAAAGGUAUGCUAAUUAUUGUAUUGCCUAAAAGAGUGUCAUUGCCAUUAAAAGCAGUAAAGAAUUCAAGUACUCUCGAAAAAAAAGACAAGAAAAUACUUAAGUCAAUUAUUUGUCACAAGUUGGAGUUAAAGACGAAGGAGAUUGUAUAUGUUAUUUACUAAUAAAAUGGCCUAGCUGUAAAAUUAAACUGUGCCGGGAGAGGACAAAAAAUUGGAAUAGGAAAAAUGUUGAUUGCAUAUGUUGCUAUUGAAACUGUGAAGUUAAAUAAGCAUGGCUUAUGCAGACAUGUGAUAGAGAUAGAGGAAGA
This is a long non-coding RNA of Hydra vulgaris (swiftwater hydra), 937 nucleotides long. RefSeq lists it as uncharacterized. Lineage: Eukaryota; Metazoa; Cnidaria; Hydrozoa; Anthoathecata; Hydridae. The record is from RefSeq and is a predicted model, not a curated record.